CCAGCUCGAUGCAUAUAAGUACUGGGGGACGUGCAAGGGACCCUCAAUCACAUCGAUUGUUUCAACAGCAACUCAAUCGGAAGCUUUGUCACCAUGUCCUGCCUUCGUACCAUCUUCCUUUUCGCUCUCAUCUUUGGUGCCGUGGCUCUUCUGGCUGAAGCUGCGCCAGAGCCUCUGCCGGAACCAGAAGGGGGAGCCUUCCGCAUACGCCGUCAAAUCUGCAAGAUCGAGAAAGAGUGCGACAAACAGUGCGGGGAAAAACAACCAAUUUGCUUUGGCACGACCUGCAAGUGCAUUUAAUAAAUAGCCCCAGGUGAAAGAAAGUGAUUUUAAACCAAAAAUGGCUGUGCAUUUGGGGUGUGUCAUCGCAUAACUACGAUCCUCUGUCCUCAGAUGACGUCACACAUGGCAUACCGGGACACGUUGAAAGGAAUAAUUAUCUGUAGCCAAGACUUGUACUUUCCUAAAUAUUUGUUAUUCUUUCAUUUAUGGUGACGCGGUGUAUCCAAUAAAAGGUGUGUUUAGC
Molecule: long non-coding RNA, 526 nt
Organism: Ornithodoros turicata
Lineage: Eukaryota; Metazoa; Arthropoda; Arachnida; Ixodida; Argasidae
Exons: 4
Source: RefSeq, a predicted model, not a curated record